Molecule: ribosomal RNA, 501 nt
Filed under: uncultured bacterium
Lineage: Bacteria
Description: partial 16S ribosomal RNA
Rfam family: Bacterial small subunit ribosomal RNA
Source: RNAcentral
AUUGAACGCUGGCGGCAGGCUUAACACAUGCAAGUCGAGCGGGGGAAGGUAGCUUGCUACCGGACCUAGCGGCGGACGGGUGAGUAAUGCUUAGGAAUCUGCCUAUUAGUGGGGGACAACAUCUCGAAAGGGAUGCUAAUACCGCAUACGUCCUACGGGAGAAAGCAGGGGAUCUUCGGACCUUGCGCUAAUAGAUGAGCCUAAGUCGGAUUAGCUAGUUGGUGGGGUAAAGGCCUAACAAGGCGACGUUCUGUAGCGGGUCUGAGAGGAGGAGCCGCCACACUGGGACUGAGACACGGCCCAGACUCCUACGGGAGGCAGCAGUGGGGAAUAUUGGACAAUGGGGGGAACCCUGAUCCAGCCAUGCCGCGUGUGUGAAGAAGGCCUUAUGGUUGUAAAGCACUUUAAGCGAGGAGGAGGCUACUCUAGUUAAUACCUAGGGAUAGUGGACGUUACUCGCAGAAUAAGCACCGGCUAACUCUGUGCCAGCCGCCGCUGUAA